Molecule: ribosomal RNA, 389 nt
Filed under: uncultured organism
Description: bacterial SSU rRNA
Rfam family: Bacterial small subunit ribosomal RNA
Source: RNAcentral
UGGAUCCAGACUUUGAUCCUGGCUCAGGAUGAACGCUAGCGGCAGGCUUAACACAUGCAAGUCGAGGGGCAGCGCGGGAUAGCAAUAUCCUGGCGGCGACCGGCGGAAGGGUGCGUAACGCGUGAGCGACAUGCCCGUUGCCCGGGGACAACCGGUGGAAACGCCGACUAAUCCCCGAUGGGAUACGAUGCUUCAUGGCAUUGUAUUGAAAGUUACGGCGGCGACGGAUUGGCUCGCGUCCGAUUAGCUGGUUGGCGGGGUAACGGCCCACCAAGGCUACGAUCGGUAGGGGUUCUGAGAGGAAGGCCCCCCACAAUGGGACUGAGACACGGCCCAUACUCCUACGGGAGGCAGCAGUGAGGAAUAUUGGUCAAUGGGCGGAAGCCUGA